RNAcentral lists this ribosomal RNA (1343 nucleotides) under uncultured bacterium. RNAcentral's name for it is "16S ribosomal RNA". It matches the Rfam family "Bacterial small subunit ribosomal RNA", at positions 28 to 1378 of the family's 1533-position model. The record is from RNAcentral.
GACGAACGCUGGCGGCGUGCUUAACACAUGCAAGUCGAACGGAAAGGCCCUGCUUUUGUGGGGUGCUCGAGUGGCGAACGGGUGAAUAACACGUGAGUAACCUGCCCUUGACUUUGGGAUAACUUCAGGAAACCGGGGCUAAUACCGGAUAGGAGCUCCUGCUGCAUGGUGGGGGUUGGAAAGUUUCGGCGGUUGGGGAUGGACUCGCGGCUUAUCAGCUUGUUGGUGGGGUAGUGGCUUACCAAGGCUUUGACGGGUAGCCGGCCUGAGAGGGUGACCGGCCACAUUGGGACUGAGAUACGGCCCAGACUCCUACGGGAGGCAGCAGUGGGGAAUAUUGCACAAUGGGCGGAAGCCUGAUGCAGCAACGCCGCGUGCGGGAUGACGGCCUUCGGGUUGUAAACCGCUUUCGCCUGUGACGAAGCGUGAGUGACGGUAAUGGGUAAAGAAGCACCGGCUAACUACGUGCCAGCAGCCGCGGUGAUACGUAGGGUGCGAGCGUUGUCCGGAUUUAUUGGGCGUAAAGGGCUCGUAGGUGGUUGAUCGCGUCGGAAGUGUAAUCUUGGGGCUUAACCCUGAGCGUGCUUUCGAUACGGGUUGACUUGAGGAAGGUAGGGGAGAAUGGAAUUCCUGGUGGAGCGGUGGAAUGCGCAGAUAUCAGGAGGAACACCAGUGGCGAAGGCGGUUCUCUGGGCCUUUCCUGACGCUGAGGAGCGAAAGCGUGGGGAGCGAACAGGCUUAGAUACCCUGGUAGUCCACGCUGUAAACGGUGGGUACUAGGUGUGGGGUCCAUUCCACGGGUUCCGUGCCGUAGCUAACGCUUUAAGUACCCCGCCUGGGGAGUACGGCCGCAAGGCUAAAACUCAAAGGAAUUGACGGGGCCCCGCACAAGCGGCGGAGCAUGCGGAUUAAUUCGAUGCAACGCGUAGAACCUUACCUGGGUUUGACAUGGAUCGGGAGUGCUCAGAGAUGGGUGUGCCUCUUUUGGGGUCGGUUCACAGGUGGUGCAUGGCUGUCGUCAGCUCGUGUCGUGAGAUGUUGGGUUAAGUCCCGCAACGAGCGCAACCCUUGUUCACUGUUGCCAGCACGUUAUGGUGGGGACUCAGUGGAGACCGCCGGGGUCAACUCGGAGGAAGGUGGGGAUGACGUCAAGUCAUCAUGCCCCUUAUGUCCAGGGCUUCACGCAUGCUACAAUGGCUGGUACAGAGAGUGGCGAGCCUGUGAGGGUGAGCGAAUCUCGGAAAGCCGGUCUCAGUUCGGAUUGGGGUCUGCAACUCGACCUCAUGAAGUCGGAGUCGCUAGUAAUCGCAGAUCAGCAACGCUGCGGUGAAUACGUUCCCGGG